Non-coding RNA from Bacteroides reticulotermitis JCM 10512, 362 nucleotides. It matches the Rfam family "Bacterial RNase P class A". From Rfam's summary of the family: Ribonuclease P (RNase P) is a ubiquitous endoribonuclease, found in archaea, bacteria and eukarya as well as chloroplasts and mitochondria. NCBI's taxonomy places the organism in Bacteria, Pseudomonadati, Bacteroidota, Bacteroidia, Bacteroidales, Bacteroidaceae. The record is from Rfam.
GCAGUUGGCCGGUCUGUCGCGUGUACAUUUUGUACAGGAGGAAAGUCCGGGCAACAUAGAGCAUCCUACUUCCUAACAGAAAGCUGUCCGCGAGGGUAGAGUAACGUAGAAGAAAAUAACCGCCUCUCCUUUCGGGGAGAGGUAAGGGUGAGAAGGUGGGGUAAGAGCCUACCAGCUACAUGGCGACAUGUAGGCUGUGCGUCUUGGGAGUUGUAAGGUCAUGUAUACCGGCGUUAUGAGAGUCGCUCGCUCCAUGUCGGAGGGUAGACCGCUAAAGUGACUUGGUGACAUUUCACUCAGAUAAAUGACAGACACCUUGAUUUAUUAAGGUACAGAACCCGGCUUACAGGCUGACUGCUUUU